CCUACGGGAGGCAGCAGUGGGGAAUAUUGGGCAAUGGGCGCAAGCCUGACCCAGCAACGCCGCGUGAAGGAAGAAGGCUUUCGGGUGGUGAACUUCUUUUGUCAGGGACGAAGCAAGUGACGGUACCUGACGAAUAAGACACGGCUAACUACGUGCCAGCAGCCGCGGUAAUACGUAGUUGGCAAGCGUUAUCAGGAUUUACUGGGUGUAAAGGGCGUGUAGGCGGGACUGCAAGUCAGAUGAGAAAACCACGGGCGCAACCUGUGGCCUGCAUUUGAAACUGGAGUUCUUGAGUACUGGAGAGGCAGACGGAAUUCCUAGUGUAGCGGCGAAAUGCGUAGAUAUUAGGAGGAACACCAGUGGCGAAGGCGGUCUGCUGGACAGCAACUGACGCUGAGGCGCGAAAGCGUGGGGAGCAAACAGGAUUAGAUACCCUUGUAGUC
Molecule: ribosomal RNA, 443 nt
Filed under: uncultured bacterium
Lineage: Bacteria
Description: partial 16S ribosomal RNA
Rfam family: Bacterial small subunit ribosomal RNA
Source: RNAcentral